RNAcentral lists this ribosomal RNA (1480 nucleotides) under Staphylococcus saprophyticus. Its description in RNAcentral is "bacterial SSU rRNA". It matches the Rfam family "Bacterial small subunit ribosomal RNA". Lineage: Bacteria; Bacillati; Bacillota; Bacilli; Caryophanales; Staphylococcaceae. The record is from RNAcentral.
GGAGAUUUUGGAAAUGUAGGGGGGCUAUCAUGCAGUCGAGCGAACAGAUAAGGAGCUUGCUCCUUUGACGUUAGCGGCGGACGGGUGAGUAACACGUGGGUAACCUACCUAUAAGACUGGGAUAACUUCGGGAAACCGGAGCUAAUACCGGAUAACAUUUGGAACCGCAUGGUUCUAAAGUGAAAGAUGGUUUUGCUAUCACUUAUAGAUGGACCCGCGCCGUAUUAGCUAGUUGGUAAGGUAACGGCUUACCAAGGCAACGAUACGUAGCCGACCUGAGAGGGUGAUCGGCCACACUGGAACUGAGACACGGUCCAGACUCCUACGGGAGGCAGCAGUAGGGAAUCUUCCGCAAUGGGCGAAAGCCUGACGGAGCAACGCCGCGUGAGUGAUGAAGGGUUUCGGCUCGUAAAACUCUGUUAUUAGGGAAGAACAAAUGUGUAAGUAACUGUGCACAUCUUGACGGUACCUAAUCAGAAAGCCACGGCUAACUACGUGCCAGCAGCCGCGGUAAUACGUAGGUGGCAAGCGUUAUCCGGAAUUAUUGGGCGUAAAGCGCGCGUAGGCGGUUUCUUAAGUCUGAUGUGAAAGCCCACGGCUCAACCGUGGAGGGUCAUUGGAAACUGGGAAACUUGAGUGCAGAAGAGGAAAGUGGAAUUCCAUGUGUAGCGGUGAAAUGCGCAGAGAUAUGGAGGAACACCAGUGGCGAAGGCGACUUUCUGGUCUGUAACUGACGCUGAUGUGCGAAAGCGUGGGGAUCAAACAGGAUUAGAUACCCUGGUAGUCCACGCCGUAAACGAUGAGUGCUAAGUGUUAGGGGGUUUCCGCCCCUUAGUGCUGCAGCUAACGCAUUAAGCACUCCGCCUGGGGAGUACGACCGCAAGGUUGAAACUCAAAGGAAUUGACGGGGACCCGCACAAGCGGUGGAGCAUGUGGUUUAAUUCGAAGCAACGCGAAGAACCUUACCAAAUCUUGACAUCCUUUGAAAACUCUAGAGAUAGAGCCUUCCCCUUCGGGGGACAAAGUGACAGGUGGUGCAUGGUUGUCGUCAGCUCGUGUCGUGAGAUGUUGGGUUAAGUCCCGCAACGAGCGCAACCCUUAAGCUUAGUUGCCAUCAUUAAGUUGGGCACUCUAGGUUGACUGCCGGUGACAAACCGGAGGAAGGUGGGGAUGACGUCAAAUCAUCAUGCCCCUUAUGAUUUGGGCUACACACGUGCUACAAUGGACAAUACAAAGGGCAGCUAAACCGCGAGGUCAUGCAAAUCCCAUAAAGUUGUUCUCAGUUCGGAUUGUAGUCUGCAACUCGACUACAUGAAGCUGGAAUCGCUAGUAAUCGUAGAUCAGCAUGCUACGGUGAAUACGUUCCCGGGUCUUGUACACACCGCCCGUCACACCACGAGAGUUUGUAACACCCGAAGCCGGUGGAGUAACCAUUUAUGGAGCUAGCCGUCGAAGGGACAUAAUUUCUAAAAAAUUUGCU